Molecule: ribosomal RNA, 502 nt
Filed under: uncultured bacterium
Lineage: Bacteria
Description: partial 16S ribosomal RNA
Rfam family: Bacterial small subunit ribosomal RNA
Source: RNAcentral
AUUGAACGCUGGCGGCAUGCCUUACACAUGCAAGUCGAACGGCAGCACGGGAGCUUGCUCCUGGUGGCGAGUGGCGAACGGGUGAGUAAUAUAUCGGAACGUGUCCUGGAGUGGGGGAUAACUAGUCGAAAGAUUAGCUAAUACCGCAUACGAUCUAAGGAUGAAAGUGGGGGAUCGCAAGACCUCAUGCUCCUAGAGCGGCCGAUAUCUGAUUAGCUAGUUGGUGAGGUAAAGGCUCACCAAGGCGACGAUCAGUAGCUGGUCUGAGAGGACAACCAGCCACACUGGAACUGAGACACGGUCCAGACUCCUACGGGAGGCAGCAGUGGGGAAUUUUGGACAAUGGGCGCAAGCCUGAUCCAGCAAUGCCGCGUGAGUGAAGAAGGCCUUCGGGUUGUAAAGCUCUUUUGCCAGGGAAGAAACGGCAAAGGCUAAUAUCCUUUGCUAAUGACGGUACCUGAAGAAUAAGCACCGGCUAACUACGUGCCAGCCGCCGCCGUAA